GAUGAACGCUAGCGGCAGGCUUAAUACAUGCAAGUCAAGGGGGUAGCAAUACAACCGGCGCACGGGUGAGUAACGCGUACACAACAUACCAUAUACUGGGGGUAUAGCUUUGGGAAACUGAAGGUAAUCCCCCAUAACAUUGCGAGAGGCAUCUGAUUGCAAUUAAAGUUUCGGCGGUAUAUGAUUGGUGUGCGUUUGAUUAGCUAGUUGGUAGGGUAACGGCCUACCAAGGCGACGAUCAAUAGCUGGCGUGAGAGCGCGACCAGCCACACUGGAACUGAGACACGGUCCAGACUCCUACGGGAGGCAGCAGUAGGGAAUAUUGGACAAUGGAGGAAACUCUGAUCCAGCCAUGCCGCGUGAUAGAUGAAGGCCCUCUGGGUUGUAAAUAUCUUUUAUCUGGGAAGAAACAAUCUUAUUCUUAAGAUCUUGACGGUACCAGAGGAAUAAGCACCGGCUAACUCCGUG
This 468-nucleotide ribosomal RNA is filed under the name uncultured bacterium. RNAcentral's name for it is "bacterial SSU rRNA". It matches the Rfam family "Bacterial small subunit ribosomal RNA", at positions 28 to 507 of the family's 1533-position model. The record is from RNAcentral.